Molecule: long non-coding RNA, 785 nt
Organism: Numida meleagris (helmeted guineafowl)
Lineage: Eukaryota; Metazoa; Chordata; Aves; Galliformes; Numididae
Exons: 3
Source: RefSeq, a predicted model, not a curated record
ACCCGCACCGCUCCCGUAACGCCGCCGGGCAGCGAGGAGAUUCCUGCCUGGGAAGCCGGAGAGAACUGACAGACACGGGCAGGCCUGCGGGUAGACGUGAUAGCGGCCUUUCGGCGCCUGAAGGGGAGCUAAUCCCACCCAAUUGUUGGUGUAUUCUUCAGCUUCUCCCUCUCUGCCACCAAGGGUGAUGUGUUGCCAGGUAGAAAAAGCGGCAAGCCUGGGCCUUUCACAGGGACAUCAGCCUCAUCUCACACAAGCUGGAUCCAGCUUCUGCUGUUUUGCAAAAGGAGUCAUCCCAUCUGGGAUGGCCAGUUUUCCAAACGCUUGAAGGAACACUGCUGGAGCUACUAUUGUAUCAAUCAGACCAAACAGUCUUAAGUUUCAGAGCUGAAGAGAGGAUUGUACAGUCACCUAGGAGGCAUUAGGAUUCUCAGUUUGGCAUCAAGAAGAGAAGCAAAGGCAUUCAUUCUGUGGCACAGCCGUACAAACUAGCAACACUGCAACCAUUUGCUAGUGAAAGUCACCUGCUCAGAUGCAGAAAGCAGAUGCUGUUUCACACCAUGCUUAAUGCACUGACAUAAUAUGCCUGCAAGUCACAGAACAAGAGACUGUGGCUUGUGUGCACAGGCAUGACAGGAACCUCACUCUGGUCCCAAGUAUGAUUUAAAAAGUCACAACAUUAAGUUACUUGAACAACUGAAAAGGCUUUAAUUUAUGCACAGUAAAAAUACAAACAAGUGGUUUUACAUUUGAUUAACAGCGGUUUUCUACACAUUAGUACUUGU